UACGGAGGAUCCACGCGUUAUCCGGAUUCAUUGGGUUUAAAGGGUGCGUAGGCGGAAUGAUAAGUCAGUGGUGAAAGCCCUCAGCUUAACUGAGGAACUGCCAUUGAUACUGUCAAUCUUGAGUACAUUUGAUGUGGGCGGAAUGUGUCAUGUAGCGGUGAAAUGCUUAGAUAUGACACAGAACACCGAUUGCGAAGGCAGCUCGCAAAACUGUUACUGACGCUGAGGCACGAAAGCGUGGGUAUCAAACGGG
This 253-nucleotide ribosomal RNA is filed under the name uncultured bacterium. RNAcentral's name for it is "partial 16S ribosomal RNA". It matches the Rfam family "Bacterial small subunit ribosomal RNA", at positions 524 to 776 of the family's 1533-position model. The record is from RNAcentral.